UUUUUCAGCUCAUAAGCCUCAAGUCGUAACAGAUAUCUCUCCCUCUAAGAAGUGCAAAAGAUUGUAUCGUUCUAUUCAAAAAUCGAUUUCUUCGCUGCCAUCGUAACCCAAGGCUUUACUUCGCGUUUGAAAUGAAGUUGAAGAUCAACAAAGCCUGCGAUAUCAACUCCAUUUCGGUCCUUCCUCCUCAAUCAAGGAGACUGAGUACUCUACCAACUGGACUACAAACAUCACAGCUUAGACCACAUCCAUCGCAACAAUCAUUUUCACAGGGGAUUUCAUCGCAGCCUGGCAUGCUUUCUCAGCUCUCUCAAACCUCUUUUGAUGAAUCUCUGACAAAUGACCAGAGAUUUAAUUUGCAAGAGCGGCAGAACUCUGUGAAGAAGACAGCUUGCUUGCCCUCAGUUAGCUAUGCAAGUGAAGAGAGUCAAAUGCCAAUCUCAAGAUCUACUACCAAUUUAUUGCGUAAAUGGAAUUCCGUAUCUGUUCCAGAUCAUAAAUGUCAGAUAAAUGAAGAACUUGAGCACCGGAUUGGAAUGGUGGAAACUUCAUUGAACAAGUUUGGAAUGAUCUUGGGUUCUGUUCAGAGUGAUGUCAUGCAAGUAAACAAGGGAACAAAAGAAGUAUCACUGGAGAUGGAAGGCAUGCGACAGAAGUUGAUUGUCCUUGACACCUCACUGCAGCUAAUGAUCAAGGGACAAGAAGACGCUAAAUUUAGCCUCAAUGAGAACUUUAAAUCUAUAUCUGAUCGCCUGAGCAAGGAUAUAUAUCAAGAAAAAUUACAGCAGAUUUUUUCGGUGCUUUCUGCCCUACCAAAGCAGAUGGAAGCUUCUCUGCUGAAAUUACAAAAUGAACUCUGCAUGACCUUCACCAAAGUGAUCACGCAGGCAACAACUUGCGACCUGAAAACUUCCAGCCAAAAUAGCCCGUCGAUUACUGUGCUUCCACCAAAGGUUACUGGCAGUUACACCACUCCACAAAGAAAGCCGGAGCCUCUUAGGAAUCCAGCCAUGCCUCCAAUGCCAUGUGGGCAAGCAACAGUGUGUCCAAAGAUAGAAAUGGGAGCUUGGAACACUGUAAGGCCAGAACAAGCUACAUUCACGCAAAUGGCAUCCCACAUGGAACAGAAAAGCAAACGAGUUUCUUCUUUUCAAAAGGAAAAACAAUGUGUUAUCAUCGAAUCAGAUGAGGAGAUUGAUGGAGUUUUUUCAUGCUUGAUUGAUGAUAAGAAAACAGAGCUAUUAAGCUGCCAUUUGUCAGAAUCUGGGUGAGUGGGUUUCUGUUAUUACUAUAAACUUUACCUGUUUCCUUGGUAAAGGCAUUGGAAACUACAUGAUUGGUGAAGCAACAGAAGAGUCGGAGCGAAUUCUGAGAAAAGCAAGGAGGAGAAAGAGAAAACACUGUAAUCUAAUAAUUAUUAAUUGAAGAUGGAAGAUUUCUCUCUUUUCAUGAAGUAUCAAAGGUUUU
Hevea brasiliensis (rubber tree) is the source of this 1467-nucleotide RNA transcript. It is a transcript of the gene named putative recombination initiation defects 3, with no coding region annotated. Lineage: Eukaryota; Viridiplantae; Streptophyta; Magnoliopsida; Malpighiales; Euphorbiaceae. The transcript has 12 exons. The record is from RefSeq and is a predicted model, not a curated record.